GACGAACGCUGGCGGCGUGCUUAACACAUGCAAGUCGAACGAUGAAGAAGAGAAACGCGAACUUCGGUUCAAAUUUCACUUCGGAUUAGUGGCAGACGGGUGAGUAACGCGUGAGCAACCUACCUCUUACAAAGGGAUAGCCUCGGGAAACCGUGAUUAAUACCAUAUGACACAUUCAUAAGGCAUCUUAAGAAUGUUAAAGCUACGGCGGUAAGAGAUGGGCUCGCGUCCCAUUAGCUAGUUGGUGAGGUAACGGCCCACCAAGGCGACGAUGGGUAACCGGCCUGAGAGGGUGAACGGUCACCUUGGAACUGAGACACGGUCCAAACUCCUACGGGAGGCAGCAGUGGGGAAUAUUGCACAAUGGAGGGAACUCUGAUGCAGCGACGCCGCGUGAGCGAUGAAGGAAUUCGUUUCGUAAAGCUCUGUUCUAUGGGAAGAAAAGGACUGUACCAUAGGAGAAAGCCCCGGCUAAAUACGUG
RNAcentral lists this ribosomal RNA (482 nucleotides) under uncultured bacterium. Its description in RNAcentral is "partial 16S ribosomal RNA". It matches the Rfam family "Bacterial small subunit ribosomal RNA", at positions 28 to 507 of the family's 1533-position model. The record is from RNAcentral.